UAGGGAAUAUUGGACAAUGGGGGCAACCCUGAUCCAGCCAUGCCGCGAGAGUGAAGAAGGCCCUCGGGUUGUAAAGCUCUUUUGUCCGGAAAGAAAAGCAUUCGGUGAAUACCCGGAUGUUCUGACGGUACCGGAAGAAUAAGCACCGGCUAACUUCGUGCCAGCAGCCGCGGUAAUACGAAGGGUGCAAGCGUUACUCGGAAUUACUGGGCGUAAAGCGUGCGUAGGUGGUUGUUUAAGUCUGAUGUGAAAGCCCUGGGCUCAACCUGGGAAUGGCAUUGGAAACUGGGCAGCUAGAGUGCGGUAGAGGGUAGUGGAAUUCCCGGUGUAGCAGUGAAAUGCGUAGAGAUCGGGAGGAACAUCUGUGGCGAAGGCGACUGCCUGGACCAGCACUGACACUGAGGCACGAAAGCGUGGGGAGCAAACA
Molecule: ribosomal RNA, 427 nt
Filed under: uncultured bacterium
Lineage: Bacteria
Description: bacterial SSU rRNA
Rfam family: Bacterial small subunit ribosomal RNA
Source: RNAcentral